This 2878-nucleotide ribosomal RNA is filed under the name Burkholderia sola. Its description in RNAcentral is "23S ribosomal RNA". It matches the Rfam family "Bacterial large subunit ribosomal RNA". Lineage: Bacteria; Pseudomonadati; Pseudomonadota; Betaproteobacteria; Burkholderiales; Burkholderiaceae. The record is from RNAcentral.
UCAAGCGAACAAGUGCAUGUGGUGGAUGCCUUGGCGAUCACAGGCGAUGAAGGACGCGGUAGCCUGCGAAAAGCUACGGGGAGCUGGCAAACGAGCUUUGAUCCGUAGAUGUCCGAAUGGGGAAACCCGGCCCUUUUGGGUCAUCCUGGACUGAAUACAUAGGUCCAGUGAAGCGAACGCGGUGAACUGAAACAUCUAAGUAACCGCAGGAAAAGAAAUCAACCGAGAUUCCCAAAGUAGUGGCGAGCGAAAUGGGAUGAGCCUUGCACUCUUUAUUUGUAUUGUUAGCCGAACGCUCUGGAAAGUGCGGCCAUAGCAGGUGAUAGCCCUGUAGGCGAAAACAGUAUGAAAGAACUAGGUGUGCGACAAGUAGGGCGGGACACGUGAAAUCCUGUCUGAAGAUGGGGGGACCAUCCUCCAAGGCUAAAUACUCGUGAUCGACCGAUAGUGAACCAGUACCGUGAGGGAAAGGCGAAAAGAACCCCGGGAGGGGAGUGAAAUAGAUCCUGAAACCGCAUGCAUACAAACAGUCGGAGCCUCGCAAGGGGUGACGGCGUACCUUUUGUAUAAUGGGUCAGCGACUUACGUUCAGUAGCAAGCUUAACCGUAUAGGGCAGGCGUAGCGAAAGCGAGUCCGAAUAGGGCGUUCAGUUGCUGGGCGUAGACCCGAAACCAGGUGAUCUAUCCAUGGCCAGGAUGAAGGUGCGGUAACACGUACUGGAGGUCCGAACCCACUAACGUUGAAAAGUUAGGGGAUGAGCUGUGGAUAGGGGUGAAAGGCUAAACAAACCUGGAAAUAGCUGGUUCUCUCCGAAAACUAUUUAGGUAGUGCCUCGUGUCUCACCUUCGGGGGUAGAGCACUGUCAUGGUUGGGGGGUCUAUUGCAGAUUACCCCGCCAUAGCAAACUCCGAAUACCGAAGAGUGCAAUCACGGGAGACAGACAUCGGGUGCUAACGUCCGGUGUCAAGAGGGAAACAACCCAGACCGCCAGCUAAGGUCCCCAAAUAUAGCUAAGUGGGAAACGAAGUGGGAAGGCUAAAACAGUCAGGAGGUUGGCUUAGAAGCAGCCACCCUUUAAAGAAAGCGUAAUAGCUCACUGAUCGAGUCGUCCUGCGCGGAAGAUGUAACGGGGCUAAGCUAUAUACCGAAGCUGCGGAUGCGAGCUUGCUCGCAUGGUAGGAGAGCGUUCCGUAAGCCUGCGAAGGUGCCUUGUAAAGGGUGCUGGAGGUAUCGGAAGUGCGAAUGCUGACAUGAGUAGCGAUAAAGGGGGUGAAAGGCCCCCUCGCCGUAAGCCCAAGGUUUCCUACGCAACGUUCAUCGGCGUAGGGUGAGUCGGCCCCUAAGGCGAGGCAGAAAUGCGUAGCUGAUGGGAAGCAGGUCAAUAUUCCUGCACCAUUGUUAGAUGCGAUGGGGGGACGGAUCGCGGAAGGUUGUCCGGGUGUUGGAAGUCCCGGUCGCUGCAUUGGAGAAGGCGCUUAGGCAAAUCCGGGCGCGCAAUUCAAGGGUGUGGCGCGAGCUCCUUAGGGAGCGAAGCAAUUGGAAGUGGUUCCAAGAAAAGCCUCUAAGCUUCAGUCUAACGAUGACCGUACCGCAAACCGACACAGGUGGGCGAGAUGAGUAUUCUAAGGCGCUUGAGAGAACUCGGGAGAAGGAACUCGGCAAAUUGGUACCGUAACUUCGGGAUAAGGUACGCCCUUGUAGCUUGACUGGCCUGCGCCAGGAGGGUGAAGGGGUUGCAAUAAACUGGUGGCUGCGACUGUUUAAUAAAAACACAGCACUCUGCAAACACGAAAGUGGACGUAUAGGGUGUGACGCCUGCCCGGUGCCGGAAGAUUAAAUGAUGGGGUGCAAGCUCUUGAUUGAAGUCCCGGUAAACGGCGGCCGUAACUAUAACGGUCCUAAGGUAGCGAAAUUCCUUGUCGGGUAAGUUCCGACCUGCACGAAUGGCGUAACGAUGGCCACACUGUCUCCUCCCGAGACUCAGCGAAGUUGAAGUGUUUGUGAUGAUGCAAUCUACCCGCGGCUAGACGGAAAGACCCCAUGAACCUUUACUGUAGCUUUGCAUUGGACUUUGAACCGAUCUGUGUAGGAUAGGUGGGAGGCUAUGAAACCGGAACGCUAGUUUCGGUGGAGCCGUCCUUGAAAUACCACCCUGGUUUGUUUGAGGUUCUAACCUUGGCCCGUGAUCCGGGUCGGGGACAGUGCAUGGUAGGCAGUUUGACUGGGGCGGUCUCCUCCCAAAGCGUAACGGAGGAGUACGAAGGUACGCUAGGUACGGUCGGAAAUCGUGCUGAUAGUGCAAUGGCAUAAGCGUGCUUAACUGCGAGACCGACAAGUCGAGCAGGUGCGAAAGCAGGUCAUAGUGAUCCGGUGGUUCUGUAUGGAAGGGCCAUCGCUCAACGGAUAAAAGGUACUCUGGGGAUAACAGGCUGAUACCGCCCAAGAGUUCAUAUCGACGGCGGUGUUUGGCACCUCGAUGUCGGCUCAUCUCAUCCUGGGGCUGUAGCCGGUCCCAAGGGUAUGGCUGUUCGCCAUUUAAAGAGGUACGUGAGCUGGGUUUAAAACGUCGUGAGACAGUUUGGUCCCUAUCUGCCGUGGGCGUUGGAUAUUUGAAGGGGGCUGCUCCUAGUACGAGAGGACCGGAGUGGACGAACCUCUGGUGUACCGGUUGUCACGCCAGUGGCAUCGCCGGGUAGCUAUGUUCGGAAGAGAUAACCGCUGAAAGCAUCUAAGCGGGAAACUCGCCUUAAGAUGAGAUAUCCCUGGAGGCUAGACCUCCUUGAAGGGUCGUUCGAGACCAGGACGUUGAUAGGUCAGGUGUGUAAGCGCAGUAAUGCGUUCAGCUAACUGAUACUAAUUGCCCGUAAGGCUUGAUCC